AUGAACGCUGGCGGCGUGCCUAAUACAUGCAAGUCGAGCGAACAGACGAGGAGCUUGCUCCUCUGACGUUAGCGGCGGACGGGUGAGUAACACGUGGAUAACCUACCUAUAAGACUGGGAUAACUUCGGGAAACCGGAGCUAAUACCGGAUAAUAUAUUGAACCGCAUGGUUCCAUAGUGAAAGACGGUUUUGCUGUCACUUAUAGAUGGAUCCGCGCCGCAUUAGCUAGUUGGUAAGGUAACGGCUUACCGAGGCGACGAUGCGUAGCCGACCUGAGAGGGUGAUCGGCCACACUGGAACUGAGACACGGUCCAGACUCCUACGGGAGGCAGCAGUAGGGAAUCUUCCGCAAAGGGCGAAAGCCUGACGGAGCAACGCCGCGUGAGUGAUGAAGGUCUUCGGAUCGUAAAACUCUGUUAUUAGGGAAGAACAAAUGUGUAAGUAACUAUGCACGUCUUGACGGUACCUAAUCAGAAAGCCACGGCUAACUACGUG
RNAcentral lists this ribosomal RNA (496 nucleotides) under uncultured bacterium. RNAcentral's name for it is "partial 16S ribosomal RNA". It matches the Rfam family "Bacterial small subunit ribosomal RNA", at positions 29 to 507 of the family's 1533-position model. The record is from RNAcentral.